AAAAUAUCCUAAAAACGCCUUCCACGUCGUAACUUUAACAAAUCUCCGCCAAAUCACACUUUAACCGAGCGUGUAGAAAACUUUUAAAACGGAAAUAGAAUAAACGGAAACAAAACAGCAUAGGGCAAAUGGAAAGGAGCCGGAAAUCCUGGCUAAGGUUUACAGCGAUGCAAGACUUCCGAGAGCAGCCCUGAUCAAUACAACGACUUUUAGAGCAAAACUAGCAGCGCAAAGCGGCAGCAAUCUGGCCAAAAAACGAAAUAACGCUCGUCUGAAUACAAUCUACACCUAUAGGGAGAAGUACGGACUGACAAAAUGCAGUUUUAUCGCCUCAGAAUGGAUACCCACCGUAUGUUUGUGGCUUGGACAGCGCUAACAAGAAAACUCCAGAAACAUCCUUCUGUGGCAGCCUAGCGUUUAUGGAAACUAGCUAAUGCCGUCAGUGUGGCUCUGAGGUGGGCGGCCUCUUCCCAGCAAGCUGACUAGGAGUAAACAACAGCUAGCUAGGUUAGCUGUGCUAGCUGAGCUACAAAAUAGCGGGAACACUCCGAGCACGAAGGACGGGCUGCUUUUACAGGACCACAAAUGUAGCACGCUUUCCUUUAGUUGACAUAGUUAUCUCCGAAAUAUCCGUACCUUUUAAAACUCAGGCCUUGAGAGAUCUUGAAGUAUGUCAAACUGUGGUAGAUAAGCAGCCAAAAUUCACACAGUCGAAUCGUAUCAUGCAAGUUUUUUGGCCAACUACACUCUCAGUGAGGAGGGGCGGAGACUAACUGGCAAAACUGAAGUUACCUUAAAAUGUGUACAAAUGUUCAUUCACCACAUUGAUAAAGUUGCCCUGCACGUUUACCUGUCAACCUUAAAUGUCACGGUGGCCAUCUGUUUAAACUUCAGCAUAAUAUUCCCACAUGUUCCACCAAUUCACUAACAUGCUUUGUGCCAUCUUGCACUCUCUUAGGUUGUGUUUAUUUGGAAAUUGCUCAUGUUUGCUAAAAAGUGAAUGAGUGAAUAUGAGGACGAUCUGUAUAACUGGGUCAACAAUUUGAAGUGACCCAGUUCGGAUAUUUGUAACUGUUUGGAUGUUUUGCAUAUUUUAAUAAGAGUCCCAGGGGCAAGAAUGAGCUGUGUGUACAUAUUAAGCCUCACUCAGUUUUUCCCUUUUGGCAAUAUGCCUCAUAUCAGUGUAACAUAUUAUAUGAGUUAAAACUAACUUUUGACAAAGUCUUUAGGCCUCUAAAGGGUAUCAGUGGGGUCUUGUUGAGAGUUUUGUGUCUAAAUAUGUUGGAUAACAUCUAUGUGGUUGGCUUUAUAAGUGUCAUCAUCAUUAUUAUUAUUAUUAAUAUUGCUGGUCACUUUGUUCUUGUAGACUUGCAAUGAAGAGACAAGACAAUAUUUGAUUCAGUUUUGUUUGUUUAUUGCCAAUUCAUAACAUAUGACAUCUCAAGGCACUUCAUGUAGUAAGGUGAAGGCGUAGCUGAAUUAUAUAAAGGGAUUCAUUUUCUUUACGUACCAGUAAGUGAGCAGACACUUGGCAAUAGUGGAAUAAAAAAAAACUAUCACCUUUAUGGCCAAGAAACCUCUGGUAAACCCAAUCACAGGAAAGGUGGCCAUCUGCUUUGCACAGUGGAGGUGAGGGUGAAGGGAAGAAAGAAAAUGAUAACCGAUAGAAAACCGAAGAACACUUGGGAAGUCAGAUGUGCAGCUUCACAGCCAGAGAUACCUGCAAAGAAUAUCUGUUCGGUGAUGUGUUCUUUACAAAGAUAAGGCGUUUUAUGCUAACCUCAAAGCUCCAAAUUUCUCUUAAUAUACAGCAUUACUGAUGUCUCACCUUAUUGAAUCAUCUGUAGAUUUGUUAUGUUACAUUUCUGUUUAAUGUGGAAAUAAACAUCUUAUUGACAAAUAA
Molecule: long non-coding RNA, 1903 nt
Organism: Acanthochromis polyacanthus (spiny chromis)
Lineage: Eukaryota; Metazoa; Chordata; Actinopteri; Pomacentridae
Exons: 2
Source: RefSeq, a predicted model, not a curated record